GGCCUACCAUGGUGGUAACGGGUAACGGGGUGUUAGGGCACGACACCGGAGAGGGAGCCUGAGAAACGGCUACCACAUCCAAGGAUGGCAGCAGGCGCGCAAAUUACCCAAUCCCGACACGGGGAGGUAGUGACAAUAAAUAACAAUACGGGGUUCUUUCGGAUCUCGUAAUUGGAAUGAGUACAAUUUAAAUCUCUUAACGAGGAACAAUUGGAGGGCAAGUCUGGUGCCAGCAGCCGCGGUAAUUCCAGCUCCAAUAGCGUAUAUUAAAGUUGUUGCAGUUAAAAAGCUCGUAGUUGAAUUUCGGGGUUAGUAGGUUGGUCAUGCCUCUGGUAUGUACUGGUCUCACUGAUUCCUCCUUCCUGAUGAACCGUAAUGCCAUUAAUUUGGUGUUGCGGGGAAUUUGGACUGUUACUUUGAAAAAAUUAGAGUGUUUAAAGCAAGCUAACGCUUGAAUACAUUAGCAUGGAAUAAUGAAAUAGGACGUUCGAUCCUAUUUUGUUGGUUUCUAGGAUUGACGUAAUGAUUAAUAGGGAUAGUUGGGGGCAUUAGUAUUCAAUUGUCAGAGGUGAAAUUCUUGGAUUUAUUGAAGACUAACUNCUGCGAAAGCAUUUGCCAAGGAUGUUUUCAUUAAUCAAGAACGAAAGUUAGGGGAUCGAAGACGAUCAGAUACCGUCGUAGUCUUAACCAUAAACUAUGCCGACUAGGGAUCGGAUGAUGUUAAUUUUUUUUUUNCUCAUUCGGCGCCUUACG
This 753-nucleotide ribosomal RNA is filed under the name uncultured Glomus. RNAcentral describes it as "SSU rRNA". It matches the Rfam family "Eukaryotic small subunit ribosomal RNA", at positions 338 to 1092 of the family's 1831-position model. Lineage: Eukaryota; Fungi; Glomeromycota; Glomeromycetes; Glomerales; Glomeraceae. The record is from RNAcentral.